RNAcentral lists this ribosomal RNA (254 nucleotides) under uncultured bacterium. RNAcentral's name for it is "partial 16S ribosomal RNA". It matches the Rfam family "Bacterial small subunit ribosomal RNA", at positions 524 to 776 of the family's 1533-position model. The record is from RNAcentral.
CACGUAGGGGGCGAGCGUUGUCCGGAUUUAUUGGGCGUAAAGAGCUCGUAGAUGGCUCGGUAAGUCGGGUGUGAAAUUUCGAGGCUCAACCUCGAGACGCCACCUGAUACUGCUGUGGCUAGAGUCCGGUAGGGGAGCGUGGAAUUCCUGGUGUAGCGGUGAAAUGCGCAGAUAUCAGGAAGAACACCCGUGGCUAAGGCGGCUCUCUAGUACGGUACUGACGCUGAGACGCGAAAGCGUGGGGAGCGAACAGG